CCGACGCGCAGUACCAGACCUUGGCCCUCACGGUCCCUAAGUCUUGGUCGCCCUCGCCUCGCAGCCUGCCACCCGCGCUCAGCUGCCCGCCUCCUCAGCCAGCCAUGCUGGAGCAUCUGAGCUCGCUGCCCACGCAGAUGGUGAGGGCGCAGCCCGGGGACCUCCGCACGCCGCUCUUGUGCCUGGCAGCUUCGAAGCCCAUGUCGGAGCACCCACCCGGUGCUGCGCUGUUCCGGCCCGGAUGGUUACCCUCCACCCUCUUUCCCGAAUUGCCUCCUGGGUCCCCUUCUCUUCUACUUCGCGAGAAUCUCCUGUCCAUUCUCCGUGAGGGUGUUUCAGUUCCUCCCGGGAAGCCCAGAAUUUAAUAUCUUGCCCAGCCCCUUAGGAGAGCGGGAGACCCUGAUGUUGGGGUUACCCUGUGCCAGAGUUGUGAGGUCAGGGCAGGAAUUGUAUCUCCUCGGCGGUGGAACCAAUUCUUUUUUUCCUCUGCUUCACCCCAGGAUUACAAGGGCCAGAAGCUAGCUGAACAGAUGUUUCAGGGAAUUAUUCUUUUUUCUGCAAUAGUUGGAUUUAUCUACGGGUACGUGGCUGAACAGUUCGGAUGGACUGUCUAUAUAGUUAUGGCCGGAUUUGCUUUUUCAUGUUUGCUGACACUUCCUCCAUGGCCCAUCUAUCGCCGGCAUCCUCUCAAGUGGUUACCUGUUCAAGAAUCAAGCACAGACGACAAGAAACCAGGGGAAAGAAAAAUUAAGAGGCAUGCUAAAAAUAAUUGAGGUUUUCAUGAUUCAGCACCUGCUUUUGUUUCUGUGAGAUGAGCUAAAUUGCUUUCAUACCCCAGAUAAGAGCUAAAACCACCUAAUGCUCUUAUGGCACAGUUGUGUAUAGAUUUAGUUCUCUUUAUACUUCAUUUCUAGCCCAGUUGGGUUUUGAUUUAUAUAAGUAGUUUAGACCUUCUCUUCAUAAUCUUGCUCCGAGAUGGG
This 980-nucleotide small RNA is filed under the name Pongo abelii (Sumatran orangutan). RNAcentral describes it as "retained intron". Lineage: Eukaryota; Metazoa; Chordata; Mammalia; Primates; Hominidae. The record is from RNAcentral.